UGUAUUAAACACAAAAUGAUCGUAUUAUUCCUUUACAUUAGUUUUAACUCUGUCCUGGUUUCAGGUUCCUCUUUCAGUGAUAACGUCCAUCAGACUCCAGCUGACAUGUAUAAAAGUCCUGGAGGAGAAGCUAAAAUCAACUGUUCACACAGUAUAAACAGCUACAAUAGAAUCCUCUGGUACAAACAGUCAAAAGGACAAAUGCAGUUCCUGGGAUACAUGUUUCUAGGCAAAGGAAACUCAGAGAAUGAAACCGUUGUGAAGAUAGACGGGGGUGCAGAUAAAGACCAGAACUGCACAUUAACAAUUAAAGACCUGGAUGUGAACAGCAGUGCAGUGUACUUCUGUACUGCUAGAACCUAGGAAUACGAAGCUUAUUUCGGCCAGGGAACUAAACUGACUGUUCUAGAUCCAAAAUUUAAGGUCACCGCACCACGAGUAAAAAUACUGAAGCCGUCAUCAAAGGAGUGCAAAAACUCAAAAGAUGAGUUCAGGAAGAAGACCCUCGUUUGUGUGGCUGAUGAAUUCUACCCAGACCACGUCACUGUGUCCUGGCAGAUCAAUGGGGUCAAUGCCAAAUACGGCGUGGCGACGGACAACAACGCUGAGAGGGAUGGCGAGAACUACAGAAUCACCAGCAGGCUGAAGGUCCACGCUGAUGAAUGGCAAAACCCGGAGAAUGUAUUUGCGUGCUUUGUCAACUUCUAUGAUGGAACAGAUUACACCCUUUAUAAUGAUACAGUUAAGGGUGAAGGAGUAACAGGCAACGAAAAAACAAGAGGGAACUUUCUGGCCACCUCUCAGAACGGCAAACUCUGCUACGUGGUCUUCAUCGCCAAGAGCUGCAUCUACGGAGCCUUUGUCACGUUCCUCGUGUGGAAGAUUCAGGACGGGAAGAAGAACCGCUGAGAGCUAAGCUGAGUCACUGUGCUUUCUGUAAAUAAGAUUAGGGAAAAAAUACUUCUA
This is a non-coding RNA of Mugil cephalus (flathead mullet), 966 nucleotides long. The record is from the annotation of a RefSeq genome assembly. Lineage: Eukaryota; Metazoa; Chordata; Actinopteri; Mugiliformes; Mugilidae.